UUCACCUAACCAUGCAUGAGUAUAAAGUGUGUUUGACAUAAAGCUGUUAGUUUUAGUUUUACAUUAUAAUGACAUAGAAUAGAUGGUAUUUUGAUGGUUUGAUGGUUGUUGGUAAAAUAACCCCCCCCAAAAAAGCCACGAGCCCACCACUGGUGUCUUUUUCUGACGCCCAGAGCUAUCCAUAGCUACAGUAUCUACUGUACUAGCCUACUUGACCAAGUAGCCUAGUCCAACUUGAGAGCAGAGAUGUGAACUGUUCCUGGAGUACAAGGCAGCACAAGACCAAACUGACGUUGCACAACCAUCAGUAUCUGCAUGCUUCUCCAAUGUUUCGGUCUACAGUUCUAAAUCCCCUCGGCAGCAAGCAAUUAAUGCAUCCAUCAUUAAGGACUUGGUAAUUGACUGUGCACUGCCUCUGGCUUUGGUGGAGAAUUGUUACUUUAGAACAUUUCUGAAAGUCAUGGACUCAAAAUACACCCCCAUCUCGAGAAGCACUAUCUAAGUGAAGCAGACUAUUGUUGAAAGAUUGCAGAGUCAACCAUCUGUCUCUGUAACCGUUGGUAUCUGGUCUGACCGCAGACUGCGGUCCUUUCUUGGCGUCACUGCGCAUGCAGUACACUGCUCUAAUGGAUCCUGUGUGCUUGAACCGUACCUGCUUGAAUGCCGACGGUUUACAGGACGGCACAGCGGUGAGAGGAUUUCUGCUGCUUUUGAGGAAAUACUUGAAGAAUAUGGCAUCGCGCAAAAAGUUUGUUAUAUUAUAACAGACAAUGCAGCCAACAUGAAAUGCGCUUUCAAAGUGCAAAUGCCCCUGCAGCAAGCCUCUGACACAGAAAGCGAGGAUGACCUUGAUGAUGAGGAGUUAUGGGAGGACACUGAUGAGGACACAGAACUUGGGCUAUCAGGGGAGAGGCUUUCUUGUUUUGCCCAUUCUCUUCAAUUAGUUGUCUCAGAUGGAAUGAAAGAGGUCAAAUCAAUUAGUCUUGCCAUUGCUAAAGCAUCUCGCUUUUCUACCCUCUUGCACACCAGCUCGGCUUUCAAAGACACAUUUGAAAGCACAUGUGGAACAACAAAAACUGUACCUGCAGCGAACAACACCAGAUGGAAUAGUACAUUUAAACAGCUACAAGCACUGACUUCUCUGGAUCACAAAACAUUGACCGAAAUGUGCCUUAACGACUUUUCAGAAGUUGUUUUCACGCCACGUGAGUGGAACCAACUCAGAGACUUAACCUCAAUUCUUACUCCUUUUGCUGAGGCUACUAACUUAACAGAGGGGGAAAAAGUCGUAACUAUCAGCAUCAUUGUGCCGACUGUUCUUGACCUGAACACCCAUUUAAUAAAAUGUGAAACAACUCAUAUCCUGUGUAGACCCAUCGCAAGGGCACUACACGGAUCACUGAAAAAACGCUUCCAGGGGAUUUUUGAACAGUUUGACAUGGCUGGGAAAACUGGGAAGGAGGAGCCAUUCAACAACAAAAUCUACACCCUUUCCACAAUGCUGGACCCACAGUUUGGCCUAAAUUGGGUGGAUCUCGAUGUGACGUGCAAGCAGGGUGCAGCAUACCAGAGGCGAUAGAGAGAGGACCUGAAAAAAUCACUGAAAGAAACACUGGUUGCAGAGGUUGAGAAAUGUGCUGAGAGAUACGGAGGAGAACAAGAUGACUUGGACGGCACAUUGGAAGAGGAUGAAGACUCCCCACCAAAGAAAUGUGGUCGCAUGCUGUCGAGGUACAAAUCUCUCAAAAAGCGCAGCACAGGGCAGCAAACAUGUGUUGCUACGCAGGUUGCAAAAUACUGUUGAAGACACAGACAUUGAGAAUGCUCUUUACUUUUGGGCCAAACACCAAGAGCGUUUUCCCCAAAUCCACAUGCUGGCCAUGAAACUGUUGGCUGUGCCGGCGUCUUCAGCACCCGUUGAACGUGUUUUUAGUCGAGGUGGUUUUAUUAGGAGACCACAUCGGUCCCGCCUCAGGCACAGCUUGCUCUCAUCUCUGAUUUUUCUAAAGUGCAACUACGAAAUUCUUGACGGGGAAGAGUAAAAUGAAGAGUGUGUGUCUGUGUGAGUCCAGGGGAUGUGGGGUGCUAAAUGGUUUGGUUGCAAAAGGGUGUUGGGUGGGAGUGGGGAUUUGAGGAAAUGGUUUAGUGGCCAGUAAUGGGGAGGGGGACCAAGACCUGUCUUCAGUGCCUGUUGCACUUGUUUUUAGAGUGUUCAUUAUGAGACCACAUCGGUCCCAUCUCAGGCGCAGUUUGUUCUUGCCUGCCGUGUGUUUAAAAGAUAUACAGUGGGAAGAAUAAGUAUUUGAACCCAUGCUACAGUUGACUAAAAAGAGGAAUAUAUUUUAUAUUCCUCUUUUUAGUCAACUUUAGCAUGGGUUCAAAUACUUAUUCUCCCCACUGUACAUGUUCAUGUUUUGGGGACUGGGGGUGGGUUUAAUAACAUAGAAUAUUUGUUAACAGCAGUGUGACAUAGUGUGAUGUGUGUGUGUGUGUGUAUUUGGGUGUGUGUUUG
This is an RNA transcript of Alosa sapidissima (American shad), 2512 nucleotides long. RefSeq lists it as uncharacterized. The record is from RefSeq and is a predicted model, not a curated record. The transcript has 3 exons. NCBI's taxonomy places the organism in Eukaryota, Metazoa, Chordata, Actinopteri, Clupeiformes, Clupeidae.